UUUGAACGCUGGCGGCAGGCCGAUCACAUGCAAGUCGAACGAGUGGCGGACGGGUGAGUAAUGUCUGGGAAACUGCCAGAUGGAGGGGGAUAACUACUGGAAACGGUAGCUAAUACCGCAUACCAUCGGAUGUGCCCAGAUGGGAUUAGCUAGUAGGUGGGGUAAAGGCUAACCUAGGCGACGAUCCCUAGCUGGUCUGAGAGGAUGACCAGCGAAACUGGAAAUGAGAAACGGGCCAGGCUAGUUCGGGAGGCGGUAGGGGGGAAUAUGGAACAAUGGGCGAAAGCCUGCUGAAGGCAAGCCGCGGGGAUGAGGCAGGAAUUAAGGUUGUAUAGUACUUACAGCGGGGAGGCGUUAGCCGCAGAAGAAGCCCCGGCUAACUCCGUGCUAGCAGCCGCGGUAAUAC
This 406-nucleotide ribosomal RNA is filed under the name uncultured bacterium. RNAcentral describes it as "partial 16S ribosomal RNA". It matches the Rfam family "Bacterial small subunit ribosomal RNA", at positions 29 to 526 of the family's 1533-position model. The record is from RNAcentral.